RNAcentral lists this ribosomal RNA (459 nucleotides) under Verconia haliclona. RNAcentral describes it as "partial 16S ribosomal RNA". It matches the Rfam family "Archaeal large subunit ribosomal RNA", at positions 1909 to 2665 of the family's 2987-position model. Lineage: Eukaryota; Metazoa; Mollusca; Gastropoda; Nudibranchia; Chromodorididae. The record is from RNAcentral.
AGCUUUAGGUAAAUAUCUAAGGUUUGACCUGCCCAAUGUACAGAUUUAAAAAUCAACAAUGAAUGGCCGCGGUACUUUGACCGUGCUAAGGUAGCGUAAUCAGUUGGCUCUUAAUUGGGGUCAGGAAUGAAUGGAGUCACGGGGCUUUACUGUCUUUUUACUAAUAAUUUGAAGUUACUAUGUAAGUGAAAAAGCUUAUAUAUCAAAAAAGGACGAGAAGACCCUUAGAGUUUUACUAAUUUAUAAAUUAUUAUUUAUAUCAGUUUGGUUGGGGUAACCUGGGAUGGCAGAUAAAUCUAUUAAUCUCUCUAACAUUACAUACCGAUUAUAUUAAAAUUGAAUAAACUACCUUAGGGAUAACAGCAUAAUUUUAUAUUGAAGUUUGUGACCUCGAUGUUGGACUAGGAAACUAAAAGGCUAGCCGUCUUUUGGGAAAGUUCUGUUCGAACUAUUAUUCCU